AGGGAAUUAGCUCAGCUUGUGUAGAGCGCUUGGUUUGGGACCAAGAGGUCGCAGGUUCAAAUCCUGUAUUCCCUA
RNAcentral lists this transfer RNA (75 nucleotides) under compost metagenome. RNAcentral's name for it is "tRNA-Pro". It matches the Rfam family "tRNA". From Rfam's summary of the family: Transfer RNA (tRNA) molecules are approximately 80 nucleotides in length. Their secondary structure includes four short double-helical elements and three loops (D, anti-codon, and T loops). The record is from RNAcentral.